GACGAACGCUGGCGGCGUGCUUAACACAUGCAAGUCGAACGGAAAGGCCCUGCUUUUGUGGUGUGCUCGAGUGGCGAACGGGUGUGUAACACGUGAGUAACCUGCCCUUGACUUUGGGAUAACUUCAGGAAACUGGGGCUAAUACCGGAUAGGAGCUCCUGCUGCAUGGUGGGGGUUGGAAAGUUUCGGCGGUUGGGGAUGGACUCGCGGCUUAUCAGCUUGUUGGUGGGGUAGUGGCUUACCAAGGCUUUGACGGGUAGCCGGCCUGAGAGGGUGCCCGGCAACAUUGGGACUGAGAUACGGCCCAAACUCCUCCGGGAGGCAGCAGUGGGAAAAAUUGCAAAAUGGGGGGAACCCGGAGGCAGCAACGCCGCGUGCGGGAUGACGGCCUCCGGGUUGUAACCCGCUUUCGCCUGGGCCGAAGCGUGAGUGACGGUAAUGGGUAAAGAAGCACCGGCUAACUACGUG
This 468-nucleotide ribosomal RNA is filed under the name uncultured bacterium. Its description in RNAcentral is "partial 16S ribosomal RNA". It matches the Rfam family "Bacterial small subunit ribosomal RNA", at positions 28 to 507 of the family's 1533-position model. The record is from RNAcentral.